This 703-nucleotide small RNA is filed under the name Pongo abelii (Sumatran orangutan). Its description in RNAcentral is "processed transcript". The record is from RNAcentral. Lineage: Eukaryota; Metazoa; Chordata; Mammalia; Primates; Hominidae.
GCCGGCGUCUCGGGGCGCGCCUCGGCUGCCUGCCCGGCGGUCUCCGGGCCCUCUUCCAGACCGGCCACCGGAGCUUGAGCUCCUGCAUCGACCGAAGUGGGAGUGAUGCUGCCUCUCUUCUGACCUCCGCUAAGAAACAGGGAGACCAUUACAUCCUCAGUGGCUCCAAGGCCUUCAUCAGUGGUGCUGGUGAGUCAGACAUCUAUGUGGUCAUGUGCCGAACAGGAGGACCAGGCCCCAAGGGCAUCUCAUGCAUAGUUGUUGAGAAGGGGACCCCUGGCCUCAGCUUUGGCAAGAAGGAGAAAAAGGUGGGGUGGAACUCCCAGCCAACACGAGCUGUGAUCUUCGAAGACUGUGCCGUCCCUGUGGCCAACAGAAUUGGGAGCGAGGGGCAGGGCUUCCUCAUUGCCGUGAAAGGACUGAACGGAGGGAGGAUCAAUAUUGCUUCCUGCUCCCUGGGGGCUGCCCACGCCUCUGUCAUCCUCACCCGAGACCACCUCAAUGUCCGGAAGCAGUUUGGAGAGCCUCUGGCCAGUAACCAGUACUUGCAAUUCAAACUGGCUGAUAUGGCAACAAGGCUGGUGGCCGCGCGGCUGAUGAUCCGCAAUGCAGCAGUGGCUCUGCAGGAAGAGAGGAAAGAUGCAGUGGCCUUGUGCUCCAUGGCCAAGCUCUUUGCUACAGAUGAAUGCUUUGCUAUCUGCAA